AGGGUUUCCCUUUGUUGGAUCGACACAUGAUACGUGACAUCUAUGCAGGAAUUUAAGCGAGAGGAAGAGCUCACAUGGAGAGACAAGAAGACAGAGACAGGAAGUCGCUCAGGCUUGGUAUUUAACAGUUCCAGUUUAAAAGGGAGUGUAAACAAAAAACAAGAACAAAGAAGAGAUCGGGAGGUUGUGUAUGAGGAGAGACUUGGCUCCAGCACGUUGCCUUCGGGACAUCUGUGCCCCGGUGAGAAGAAGCAUUCCAGGACUCGGGGUCAGCACUUCAGCCAUUCAACCUCUCACUCCCCAACAC
RNAcentral lists this long non-coding RNA (307 nucleotides) under Fukomys damarensis (Damara mole-rat). RNAcentral's name for it is "lncRNA (ENSFDAG00000022281.1)". Lineage: Eukaryota; Metazoa; Chordata; Mammalia; Rodentia; Bathyergidae. The record is from RNAcentral.